GACGAACCGAGCGAACGUUGUUCGGAAUAACUGGGCUUAAAGGGCUCGUAGGCGGCCAACUAAGUCAGACGUGAAAUCCCUCGGCUUAACCGGGGAACUGCGUCUGAUACUGGAUGGCUUGAGUUUGGGAGAGGGAUGCGGAAUUCCAGGUGUAGCGGUGAAAUGCGUAGAUAUCAAGUGGAACACCAGUGGCGAAGGCGAGUCCCUGGACAACUCCUGACACUGAGGCACGAAAGCUAGGGGAGCAAACAGG
Molecule: ribosomal RNA, 253 nt
Filed under: uncultured bacterium
Lineage: Bacteria
Description: partial 16S ribosomal RNA
Rfam family: Bacterial small subunit ribosomal RNA
Source: RNAcentral